GGAGGAUUGCUUGAGACCAGGAGUUCAAGACCAGUCUGGGCAACAUGGCAAGACCCCGUGUCUACAAAAAAAAUUUUUUAAUUAACUGGAUGCAAUGAUGCGCACCUGUACUCUUAGUUACUGGGGAGACUGAGGUGGGAGGAUCCCUUGAGUCCAGGAUUUCAAGGCUGCAGUGGCUGAUAAUUGUACCACUGAACUCCAGCCUGAGUGACAGAGCAAGACUCUGUUUCAAAAACAAACAAACAACAACAACAACAACAAAAACAGAAGAGCUCUUCUAACAGAGAUACCUGUGCCUUAUUUCUCCUCCAAAGAGCCUCUUAUAAAUCUGUACCCCACCCUCCAGCCUCCAGACUUGAGCCUGAUUACAAAUUAGUUUUCAUUCUUGGGAGAUAGUAAUUGGGUUCUCUCUAUGCAAGUAUUUCUGAAUAAUCAAGUGACCAUUUCUUAUUGUAAUCUUUUUUUUUUUCUUUUUGAGACAGUCUUGUUCUGUCAUGCAGUGGUGUGAUCUUGGUUCACUGCAACCUCCACGUCCCUGGUUCAAGUGAUUCUCGUGCCUCAUCCUCCCGAGUAGCUGGUAUUACAGGCGUGCACCACCAUGCCUGGCUAAUUUUUUAUACUUUUAGUAGAGAUGGGGUUUUGCCAUGUUGGCCAAGUUGGUUUUGAACUCCCCUGGCCUCAAGCGAU
This 687-nucleotide long non-coding RNA is filed under the name Homo sapiens (human). RNAcentral describes it as "HSALNT0249858". Lineage: Eukaryota; Metazoa; Chordata; Mammalia; Primates; Hominidae. The record is from RNAcentral.